This 400-nucleotide unclassified non-coding RNA is filed under the name soil metagenome. RNAcentral's name for it is "partial contains 5.8S ribosomal RNA, internal transcribed spacer 2, and large subunit ribosomal RNA". The stretch from base 1 to 120 matches the Rfam family "5.8S ribosomal RNA", at positions 35 to 154 of the family's 154-position model. The record is from RNAcentral.
GAUGAAGAACGCAGCGAAAUGCGAUACGUAGUGUGAAUUGCAGAAAUACGUGAACCAUCGAAUCUUUGAACGCAUAUUGCGCUCGAGGCUUCGGCCAAGAGCAUGUCUGCCUCAGCGUCGGGUUAAUACUCGCUCACUCCACACCACUGCGGAGCGCAGCGGACCUGGCUAUCCCAGCCCAACUCUGUUGGUGCUGGGUUGGCUGAAGAGAAGAGAUUGAUGCAAUGGACCCGUUAAGGGCCUCGGCUUUGGUAGUGCAACUCGUUGCUCAAUGCUAACAGCUGACGGCUUGGGACCGUGCCUGUCAAUCCAAACCAGGAAAAUAUUUAUUAACCAUUUUCUCGACCUGAGCUCAGGCAAGAACACCCGCUGAACUUAAGCAUAUCAAUAAGCGGAGGGA